GGCCCACUGUUAUUUGUCGGCAUCACCAUGCGCCAGCUUCUCCUACUGAAGGCGAUGCGCGCGCGAUCGGAGCAGUACGGUAGAGGUGCCGCUAGGAGCAGUCCACAACGCGCGGCGCUCCUGUUCCACGUUGGCGCGGGUCUGGUGAGCGCGGAGACACGGAAAGCAAACUUCUCUCGGACGUCUCGGCGUGCACGAGGGGAGCGGUGACUCUGGCUCCCGGGUUCCCUGUGCCCUCGGUGCUGCCUGGUGCCAUCCCAGUCCUGGCAGGACCUCCGCAGCCUGGCCCACACAGGGCCCACUGACUGGACCCGGGACCAGGACCGGACUACACCGGACUGGACUGGACCAGACCGGGACCAGAACUGACCGGGACCAGAGCCCGGGACCAGGACUGGACCAGACGUGACCCGACCAGGAACCAGACAGAACUGAGACCAGGACUGGACUGGGACCGGCAUGGGGACCGGGACCCAGGGCAGACAGGAACAGGACCAGGUCCGGACCGUCCCGGACCCGCUUGGCG
Non-coding RNA from Petromyzon marinus (sea lamprey), 526 nucleotides. NCBI's taxonomy places the organism in Eukaryota, Metazoa, Chordata, Hyperoartia, Petromyzontiformes, Petromyzontidae. The record is from RefSeq and is a predicted model, not a curated record.